Molecule: ribosomal RNA, 221 nt
Filed under: Hydatigera taeniaeformis
Lineage: Eukaryota; Metazoa; Platyhelminthes; Cestoda; Cyclophyllidea; Taeniidae
Description: partial 12S ribosomal RNA
Source: RNAcentral
UGGUGUAAAGGAUGAUCCGCCUAAUAAUUUACUUUUAUUAUAUUGGUGUAUAUCUGGUUUAAUAUUAUUGCUGAAUGGCAGAAGUUGUGUAGUGUUAUUUAAGCCAAGUCUAUGUGCUGUUUAUAAAAGUAUUCAUGCGUUACAUUAAUAAGUAUUUAAUUGUAAUAUUAGAGAUUUAAGACUUAAAAAUAAUGUUUAAUUAAUUAUGAAAUGUGAAAUAA